AGAGCCGUCGGGUCGACCGCCCGGGUCACCGUCAGAUAGUCGCGGAUCGCCGUACCGUGCCGCGCCUC
RNAcentral lists this small RNA (68 nucleotides) under Salinispora arenicola. RNAcentral's name for it is "ASdes TB sRNA". It matches the Rfam family "ASdes TB sRNA". The record is from RNAcentral. Lineage: Bacteria; Bacillati; Actinomycetota; Actinomycetes; Micromonosporales; Micromonosporaceae.